RNAcentral lists this ribosomal RNA (301 nucleotides) under uncultured bacterium. RNAcentral's name for it is "partial 16S ribosomal RNA". It matches the Rfam family "Bacterial small subunit ribosomal RNA", at positions 509 to 807 of the family's 1533-position model. The record is from RNAcentral.
CAGUCGCCACGGUAAUACGUAGGGUGCGAGCGUUAAUCGGAAUUACUGGGCGUAAAGCGGGCGCAGACGGUUACUUAAGCAGGAUGUGAAAUCCCCGGGCUCAACCUGGGAACUGCGUUCUGAACUGGGUGACUAGAGUGUGUCAGAGGGAGGUAGAAUUCCACGUGUAGCAGUGAAAUGCGUAGAGAUGUGGAGGAAUACCGAUGGCGAAGGCAGCCUCCUGGGAUAACACUGACGUUCAUGCCCGAAAGCGUGGGUAGCAAACAGGAUUAGAUACCCCUGUAGUCCCUGUCUCUUAUAC